Molecule: transfer RNA, 76 nt
Filed under: Fervidobacterium sp.
Lineage: Bacteria; Thermotogati; Thermotogota; Thermotogae; Thermotogales; Fervidobacteriaceae
Description: tRNA-Trp
Rfam family: tRNA
About the family: Transfer RNA (tRNA) molecules are approximately 80 nucleotides in length.
Source: RNAcentral
AGGGGCGUAGCUCAAUUGGCAGAGCACCGGUCUCCAAAAUCGGGUGCUGCAGGUUCAACUCCUGCCGCCCCUGCCA